UGCAUGUCUAAGUGCAAGCCAAAUUAAGGUGAAACCGCGAAUGGCUCAUUAAAUCAGUUGUGGUUCCUUUGAUGGUGUAACGCCUACUUGGAUAACUGUGGCAAUUCUAGAGCUAAUACAUGCAAUGGAGUCCGGACCGGAGACGGGAAGGAUGCACUUAUUAGAUCAAAACCAAUCGGGCGCUUGCGUCCGUUGGGCUUGGUGACUCUGAAUAACUCAAGCCGAUCGCACGGUCUAGCACCGGCGACGCAUCAUUCAAAUGUCUGCCUUAUCAACUUUCGAUGGUAGGUUCUGCGCCUACCAUGGUUGUAACGGGUAACGGGGAAUCAGGGUUCGAUUCCGGAGAGGGAGCCUGAGAAACGGCUACCACAUCCAAGGAAGGCAGCAGGCGCGCAAAUUACCCACUCCCGGCACGGGGAGGUAGUGACGAAAAAUAACGAUACGGGACUCAUCCGAGGCCCCGUAAUCGGAAUGAGUACACUUUAAAACCUUUAACGAGUACCAAUUGAAGGGCAAGUCUGGUGCCAGCAGCCGCGGUAACUCCAGCUUCAAUAGCGUAUAUUAAAGUUGUUGCGGUUAAAAAGCUCGUAGUCGGAACUGUGUCACGCUCUGCCGGUUCACAGCUCGUCUGUGUCCAACUGGCAUGCAGCGCUGACGUCCUGCCGGUGGCUCGACCCGGCCCGGCAAGGUGCGGAGCGGUAAUCCCUCGCCUAAGGGGUCCGUUUUCCCGCCGUCGGGUCCCGGGGAGGGCCUACACAUACCCGUCGCGGGUGCUCUUGACCGAGUGUCUGGAUGGGCCGGCACGUUUACUUUGAACAAAUUAGAGUGCUCAAAGCAGGCAGCUACCGCCUGAAUAUAGUCUGCAUGGAAUAAUGGAAUAGGACCUUGGUUCUAUUUUGUUGGUUUUCGGAAUCCCGAGGUAAUGAUCAAUAGGGACGGACGGGGGCAUUCGUAUUGCGACGUUAGAGGUGAAAUUCUUGGAUCGUCGCAAGACGGACAGAAGCGAAAGCGUUUGCCAAGAAUGUUUUCUUUGAUCAAGAACGAAAGUUGAAGGCUCGAAGGCGAUUAGAUACCGCCCUAGUUUCAACCAUAAACGAUGCCAGCUAGCAAUCCGCCGAAGUUCCUCCGAUGACUCGGCGGGCGGCCUACGGGAAACCAAAGCUUUUGGGUUCCGGGGGAAGUAUGGUUGCAAAGCUGAAACUUAAAGGAAUUGACGGAAGGGCACCACCAGCGGUGGAGCAUGCGGCUCAAUUUGACUCAACACGCGGAAACUUACCAGACCCGGACACUCGAAGGAUUGACAGAUUGAGAGCUCUUUCUUGAUUGAGUGGGUGGUGGUGCAUGGCCGUUCUUCGUUGGUGAAGUGAUUUGUCUGGUUAAUUCCGAUAACGAACGAGACUCUAGCCUGCUAACUAGUCGGACUUUGUCCAACGAGCCAAGGCCGAGAUUGAAGCUUCUUAGAGGGACGGGCGACGUCUAGUCGCACGAAACAGAGCAAUAACAGGUCAGUGAUGCCCUUAGAUGUCCUGGGCAGCACGCGCGCUACACUGAAGGAAUCAGCGUGUUUUCCCUGUCCGAGAGGAUCGGGUAACCGCUUGAAACUCCUUCGUGCUAGGGAUUGGGGCUUGCAAUUAUUCCCCAUGAACGAGGAAUCCCAAGUAAGUGCGAGUCAUUAGCUCGCGCUGAUUACGUCCCUGCCCUUUGUACACACCGCCCGUCGCUACUACCGAUUGAAUGAUUUAGUGAGGACUUCGGACAGCUGGACGAGGCUUCACGGUUUCGUUUUCAGCCGAAAGAUGUCCGAACUUGAUCAUUUAGAGGAAGUAAAAGUCGUAACAAGGUUCCCGU
This 1848-nucleotide ribosomal RNA is filed under the name Euthlastoblatta sp. 2 DJGI-2006. RNAcentral's name for it is "SSU rRNA". It matches the Rfam family "Eukaryotic small subunit ribosomal RNA". Lineage: Eukaryota; Metazoa; Arthropoda; Insecta; Blattodea; Pseudophyllodromiidae. The record is from RNAcentral.